UACGUAGGGUCCAAGCGUUAUCCGGAAUCACUGGGCGUAAAGCGUGCGUAGGCGGAAGUUUAAGUGCAAUGUUAAAUCGUGUGGCUCAACCAUAUCGAUGCAUCGCAUACUGGGCUUCUAGAGGACGGCAGAGGCAAGUGGAAUUGGUAGUGUAGCAGUGAAAUGCGUAGAUAUUACCAGGAACACCAAUGGCGAAGGCAGCUUGCUGGGCCGCCCCUGACGCUGAGGCACGAAAGCGUGGGGAGCGAACAGG
This 253-nucleotide ribosomal RNA is filed under the name uncultured bacterium. Its description in RNAcentral is "partial 16S ribosomal RNA". It matches the Rfam family "Bacterial small subunit ribosomal RNA", at positions 524 to 776 of the family's 1533-position model. The record is from RNAcentral.